CGACCCCGGGAUGGAACCCAUGUGUCCUGCACUGGCAGCAGGACUCUGUACCACUGUGCCACCUGGGAAGCCCGAGUUCUCCAGAAGGAAGAAAGGGCAAAGGAAGAACCAAGAACAAACGAACAGAUUCCUGCUGAUACAGAAAGAAACAAAGGUGUUCCUCCCAGAAGCCUGACAUGGCCCACAGGAGACAGCAUGGGCCAGUGGGAAAGGCUUGGCUUUGGGCUCUGGUGGUCCCAAAUUCAAAUCCCAGCUCUGCUUUCAUUCCCCAAGUGACUCUAGAUGUGGAAACUGAGGCUUGGAGAGGUUGAAGAAGUCAUAUGGAUUCAGGCCAACGUCUCCAGACUCACAAUUCCAUGUUUUCCCCACUGAAGCGGACCCUGUGAUGUCGGUCACAUGAACGGGGUAUCCCCCUGAAGAAAAUAUAGCACAGCCACCCACUCUAGUGGACAGCAUCUGGAAGGUUCGCCCACCAUCUGGGUAACUUCGCUCGACUGUAGAAGAUUCUUUUCUUAAGACUAUGGUCCUCCUUCUCAUUCCUGGCUCAGCUACCGAGAGAUAACGUCCUCGUUCUCGUGUCUAACUGGCCCUCCCCAAAUCCCUCACCCCAGAUGCUGCGAGCCAACUCCCAUCCACCGCUAAAAAUGGCAGUGACAACUCCAGCUUCCUUUUAUGAGAGAAAAGAAAAUUUAUCAGACUUGAGCAGAAAAGGAUAUAUCCCAAUAGGAGUGUGACGCGUGUCAACUACAGUCAGGGAGAAGUGCCCAGUCGUGUGGCUGGCUUUGUUGGCCUAAAUCACAUAGCCCACUUCUGCUGUGGCAGGACUGCCACCCACCCCAGAAAAAAAAAAAAAAGCCCUGGCAUCCUUGGGAAUCCAGCCAGAGAAGGGGUUAGGGGAUAGGGCUCUAGAACUUGUCCCCUGAUGGAAGGCUCCAGAAAUUUGCUUACUGACUUGUAAAGUGGGAGAUUUUGAAGCCCAGAAUUGACUGGAACUUUGAUCUAUUAAGGAAUUGCCAAAGCCUUUAUCUUAUUGGAUGUAGCUGCAAAUUUGACCAGCCUCAGAGGUGGGGAAGGAAGCGGAAGAAGGCAAGGAUACAGUGCAAAGCAGGGGAGAAGGCACUCCCAGCCUCAGAGAGGUACAGCCAGUGAUGGUCUCUGCUGCACGCCUGGUGGUCAGGAAGCCCUGGAAACUGCCUACUCUGCCCACCAAUAAAGGAAGCAUUACACAGACCAUAACAGCCUCACCUUUCCAAAGAAGUCUCUGCACUAUCUUUUAAAAAUGAGGACAGUACAGAGGUUCCUCAAAAAACUAAAAAUUGAAUGACAAUAUUCAAUUUCUUGAAAAUAUUCAGUAAUCCUACCCCUGGGAAUUUAUCCAAAGAAAGCAAAGACGCUAAUUUGAAAAGAUACUGCAUCCCUGUGGUCUCUGCAGCAUUAUUUGCAAUAGCCAGGAUACAGAAACAACCUGCAUGUCCAUCAGUGGAUGUGUGGACAAAAAAAAUGUGAUACACACCCCCCCACACACACAAUGGAUAAUUACUUAGCUAUAAAAAAGAAGGAAAAGCUUGCCAUUUGGGGCACCAUGGAUGGACCUUACAGGCAUUGUGCUAAGGAGAAUAAGAGAGACAGAGAAAGGCAAAUACCAUAUGAUCUCAUUUAUAUGUGAAAUCUAAAAUAAACUGAACUCACAGAUGCAGAGAAUGGACUGGUGGUUGCCAGAGAUAAGGGAGUGGGCGCAGGCAAAAUAGAUGAAGGGAGUCAAAAGGCACAAACUUCCAGUUAUAAGACUAAUAAGUCAUGGGAAUAUAAUGUACAGCAUGAUGACUCUAAUAAUACUAUAUUAUUUAAAAGUUGCUAUGAGAAUAAAUCCUAGCAGUUCUCAUCACCAUACACAUACAAAAAAUGUAAUUAUGCAUGGUGACAGACGUUUAACUAGACUUAUUAUGGUAAUCAUUUCUCAAUAUAUACAAAUAUUGAAUCACUAUGCUGUAUACCUAAAACUAAUAAAAUGUUAUAUGUCAAUUACACACACACACACGCACGCCAAAAAGGAACAUGGAUAGAAAGAUAAUUACACUGGUGGGACUGAUCUCUAAAACUAAUUUAAAAAAAAAAAACAGAUUGCAGGGGCUUCCCUGCUAGUCCAGGGGCUAAGACUCGACACUCCCAAGUGCAGGGAGCC
This is a long non-coding RNA of Capra hircus (goat), 2182 nucleotides long. RefSeq lists it as uncharacterized. The transcript is spliced from 3 exons. The record is from RefSeq and is a predicted model, not a curated record. NCBI's taxonomy places the organism in Eukaryota, Metazoa, Chordata, Mammalia, Artiodactyla, Bovidae.